Molecule: ribosomal RNA, 253 nt
Filed under: uncultured bacterium
Lineage: Bacteria
Description: partial 16S ribosomal RNA
Rfam family: Bacterial small subunit ribosomal RNA
Source: RNAcentral
UACGAAGGGGGCUAGCGUUGCUCGGAAUCACUGGGCGUAAAGCGCACGUAGGCGGAUCUUUAAGUCAGGGGUGAAAUCCCAAGGCUCAACCUUGGAACUGCCUUUGAUACUGGAGACCUUGAGUCCGGGAGAGGUGAGUGGAAUUGCGAGUGUAGAGGUGAAAUUCGUAGAUAUUCGCAAGAACACCAGUGGCGAAGGCGGCUCACUGGCCCGGAACUGACGCUGAGACGCGAAAGCGUGGGGAGCAAACAGG